AUUGAACGCUGGCGGCAUGCCUAACACAUGCAAGUCGAGCGGAUGAAGGGAGCUUGCUCCUGGAUUCAGCGGCGGACGGGUGAGUAAUGCCUAGGAAUCUGCCUGGUAGUGGGGGAUAACGUCCGGAAACGGGCGCUAAUACCGCAUACGUCCUGAGGGAGAAAGUGGGGGAUCUUCGGACCUCACGCUAUCAGAUGAGCCUAGGUCGGAUUAGCUAGUUGGUGGGGUAAAGGCCUACCAAGGCGACGAUCCGUAACUGGUCUGAGAGGAUGAUCAGUCACACUGGAACUGAGACACGGUCCAGACUCCUACGGGAGGCAGCAGUGGGGAAUAUUGGACAAUGGGCGAAAGCCUGAUCCAGCCAUGCCGCGUGUGUGAAGAAGGUCUUCGGAUUGUAAAGCACUUUAAGUUGGGAGGAAGGGCAGUAAGUUAAUACCUUGCUGUUUUGACGUUACCAAAAGAAUAAGCACCGGCUAACUUCGUG
Molecule: ribosomal RNA, 484 nt
Filed under: uncultured bacterium
Lineage: Bacteria
Description: partial 16S ribosomal RNA
Rfam family: Bacterial small subunit ribosomal RNA
Source: RNAcentral